Molecule: ribosomal RNA, 157 nt
Filed under: Alatospora acuminata
Lineage: Eukaryota; Fungi; Ascomycota; Leotiomycetes; Leotiales; Leotiaceae
Description: 5.8S ribosomal RNA
Rfam family: 5.8S ribosomal RNA
About the family: 5.8S ribosomal RNA (5.8S rRNA) is a component of the large subunit of the eukaryotic ribosome. It is transcribed by RNA polymerase I as part of the 45S precursor that also contains 18S and 28S rRNA. Functionally, it is thought that 5.8S rRNA may be involved in ribosome translocation.
Source: RNAcentral
AAAACUUUCAACAACGGAUCUCUUGGUUCUGGCAUCGAUGAAGAACGCAGCGAAAUGCGAUAAGUAAUGUGAAUUGCAGAUUUCAGUGAAUCAUCGAAUCUUUGAACGCACAUUGCGCCCUCUGGUAUUCCGGGGGGCAUGCCUGUUCGAGCGUCAU